This is a long non-coding RNA of Tigriopus californicus, 1409 nucleotides long. RefSeq lists it as uncharacterized. NCBI's taxonomy places the organism in Eukaryota, Metazoa, Arthropoda, Copepoda, Harpacticoida, Harpacticidae. The transcript has 2 exons. The record is from RefSeq and is a predicted model, not a curated record.
AAUAAUAGGGCCCUCUUGGCCGUCAUGAUUCGGAGCUAGUUUCACUGAAAUUAGACAAAGCCUUGGCAAACAAUGUGGACAGUUCCACAUUUCUGAAUUUGCGGUUUUGAGCAUAAAAUGAAUUGGCACCUUUGAUCGUGGCCGGAUUUUUAAAGAUUGAGUGCGUGGUCUGUAUCGCACUUAUGCACUGAAUCGAGAGAGAAAGACGGCUUGGGCGCCCCUUCGAGAGGGGUUGUUUGGUUGGGGAACUGGGCGUUAAGCUCCGGCCGGCUUUUAUCGGGGAGGGUCUUCUUCUUCUUGGACCUCUCUUUCCACGUCUCCUUCAAAUAUCUCCCGAAGCUUUGGUCUUGUCACAGUUCGAAAUAUCGUUCUACUGAUCACACCUCCUACUUUUCGUUCUCCACGAAACUUAAAACCCCAACCUUUAAAAUGGCCGAUAUCGAGACCAAGACCCAAGAGCCCACCACUGAGCAAAAGCCCACUGAGGAGGUCCCCGCCGCCACUGAGGCCGAGGCUCCCGCUACCACCGAGGCCGCUCCCGAGGCCAAGAAGGAGGGUGGCGAUGCCGCUCCCGCUGAAGCUGAGGCUGCCACCGAGGAGUCCUCGUAAAAUCCACCAAGAUGCAUCAAUCUUCCAAAACAUCUUCUCUCAUUCUGAAGAACAUGUCAUUUUAGAGCAACGCUAGCUAGCAAUUUUAUUUUAUAUCAAUUAUGUACAUAUCUUAGUCCAUCAUGAGGCCUCUUUCUCUCGUCCCUCGGCACGAUUCCACCAUCCAUCACUAUGAUUUUGAAUCUUGACCCGAGUCAGCAAUGACCGGGGAUCAAGCGCAAAUGAUUAGGUCGAGAUGGGCGGGAGAGGGGGUUCUCGGCCAUGCCUAUAUCUUGUACCGUACAUGUAUGCUGAUAUUAACAUUGCAAUCCCGUUCGCCUCGUCAAAGACAUCAGGCGCAUUUUGGAAAUGUCAAAAUGUGUCCACGGUUGACCUUCACUCGAAGUGGAAACCAACAUCCACACCCACCACUUCCUUGGCGAGGAACUCUUCAUAUCCGUCGAAGACACAGGCGGCAAUUGCCGCUCGUUUUGCGGAUAUGCAAGAAACCCAUCCCUCCUCCCACCGUUUUCCAACCCUGAUGUCGGCCUGUAGCAAAAGGAACGCUUAUCCGGGCAUAUCUGCAGAAUACUCGGAUAAAUAACCAAGUUCCGUUGAAGAUAGUCAAUCCAUUCAGUGACGAGAAUGAGAAAAAUAUCAGAGCAAAAGAAGACAACCAAGGAAAAAAUUAAAACGAAACUGUUUGCAUUUUGGACAUUUCUUGACAAUUUGGCUAUUCAAAACAACUCGAUGGAUUUGGCUUUAGAUAUGACAGUUUCGUAUAAAAAUGAGACAUCACACAAUAAAUCGUUCAAAAAUGA